Molecule: long non-coding RNA, 669 nt
Organism: Myotis lucifugus (little brown bat)
Lineage: Eukaryota; Metazoa; Chordata; Mammalia; Chiroptera; Vespertilionidae
Exons: 3
Source: RefSeq, a predicted model, not a curated record
AACAACCUGGGAAGCCCUGCUGGCUGCCCGAACCAGGCCCCAGCCCCCUUGGCAGCUCCCAGACCCACAGGUUUGAAUUUUUCUUACAUCAACAUUUACUUGGCGUAAUCGACAGGAUUCCGAAGCCCACCCAGGACCACCCUGCAGAGCCGGAUCCAGUGGGCUGUAAGGAGUCGGUGAAUUGAGCACAGCACCUAGCUCAAGCAAGUUCUCAAUAAACGUGAGCUACUGUUAUUAUCCCGGUUUUGUUUUCCUGUCUCUUGUAAGGAUGACCCUUUCUCUGGGGGGCAUUUUGAGGGAGUGGGCUCAAGAAAGGCACGACAGCACCGCGGCUUAUCCAAUUCUUACUGUCCCACAUUUGCCUUUUUUUCAAACUAUAAGAGAACGUUUAUUUAGAAAGCCACAGAGGUAGAAGAAAUGAGCAGAAGAAAUGGGCUUCAGGAAACAAGUUACAGACGCAAAAGACGGGGCCCUUUGAGCUUAGGAGAGAAAAAAAAGUCAGAGUGAGACCCCUGGGGGCAAGGGGAGGGGAUGGGAAAGGUGCAGGGGCGAGCUCAAGACUGUCCCACUUGAGCAGAUUUGAGGCUGAAUUCAAGUCAUGAAGUGGAAGUUUCCAUUCUCUGAAGGUAGCUGGCUUCCUGGGUCCAUCCUACACACCCAGAUUUCAUG